RNAcentral lists this long non-coding RNA (980 nucleotides) under Phasianus colchicus (ring-necked pheasant). RNAcentral's name for it is "lncRNA (ENSPCLG00000018192.1)". Lineage: Eukaryota; Metazoa; Chordata; Aves; Galliformes; Phasianidae. The record is from RNAcentral.
GGAUUGGCUUGUUCAUCUAGACUGUGCACACAAGGAACAGUGCAUAAGAUGACCCAGUGGUUUGCAGCACCACCCAAGAACAUACAUGCAACUACAAGGUAAAAGAAGAACUUUUCCCAGUUCUGGGAAACAAAUCUGGGCUAUCUGAAUAAGGUUCUCCUGGAAUGGUGGCUUUUGCUUUGUGCUGGAUGGCUUCUAGUGGUAUGGAUUCCCUAAACUUUUGCUGCACACAAUGAAGAUAAACAUCUUUUAAAGAUUCUUGCCACAACCGCUACUAAAAAAAAGAACCAAACCACAGUCAAGAUAUUUGAGUUGCAGAAAAGAUGCAGACCAAAGACAGCAGUCCACCAGAUGGUGGCUAUGGAUGGGUUGUGGUAGUGUCAGCAUUCAUAGUGAUGGGCCUCACUGCUGCUGUCCUCAAGACUUUUGGUCUCUUCUUUGCUGAAAUCCAGGAGCACUUUGAUGAACUUGCAAGCACCAUUUCUUGGAUCACAUCGAUAACGAUUGCCACCUUUCAUUUAGGAGGGACCAGAAGACUUACUGAUGAAGAUCACCUGAGCCUCCAGUUCCUUAAGCAUCUUUCCUGGCCUCGCUUAGCCCUUCCUAACAUGUUCCACUGUGAAACCCUCAGUGUCAUUCGGCUCAGUAUGAAGGAUGAUCAGUGAAUUACUAAUUUUUCCCAUUUGGAUAUUUUCAACAGCUUCUCUGUGUCUUGCAUAGAAGGAGACCUUGUUUCUGUCUGAGGAUCUGCAUCUGCAACAGGCUGUUUGAUUUACCAAGAGCAAGGAUUUUCCCCAUCAAAUAGGCCUCCUUUUCAUAUUAGUGUGACUCUUCCAUCACCUCUCUCUCUGGCACUGUGAUUGCAAGUUUUCUGAGUAUUGCCCUUUAUCCUUUCAGACUCUAUUCCCUUGUUAUCUUCUUCAUUUCCAGUUCUGUGGCUAGCUCCUUUCUUCCUCCUGCUACCCCAUGUUGAAUUUCUG